CUUGCGCAAGCUGGACUGACACCUCUACUAACGGAGGUCCUACUUGGUGAUGGAGGGCAUGAUCCAUGAGUAGGCAAGGACUGUGAUCUAACUGCAGGAAUUACUAAAGACAUUCUAUUUGAUAAAUUUGCUGAAACAAGCUUAUGAGCUCCGGAUACCUGUAGGGAAUCAUCAUCUGCAGAAUUUGCCCCAGACCUUAUCCUGCCACUAUCUUCUAGACAUGAUAAUU
Molecule: unclassified non-coding RNA, 229 nt
Filed under: Hevea brasiliensis (rubber tree)
Lineage: Eukaryota; Viridiplantae; Streptophyta; Magnoliopsida; Malpighiales; Euphorbiaceae
Source: RNAcentral